GGGUGAGUAACACGUGGGCAACCUGCCUGUAAGACUGGGAUAACUCCGGGAAACCGGGGCUAAUACCGGAUAACUCAACGAACCGCAUGGUUCGGUGUUAAAAGAUGGCUUCGGCUAUCACUUACAGAUGGGCCCGCGGCGCAUUAGCUAGUUGGUGAGGUAACGGCUCACCAAGGCAACGAUGCGUAGCCGACCUGAGAGGGUGAUCGGCCACACUGGGACUGAGACACGGCCCAGACUCCUACGGGAGGCAGCAGUAGGGAAUCAUCCGCAAUGGACGAAAGUCUGACGGUGCAACGCCGCGUGAGUGAUGAAGGUUUUCGGAUCGUAAAACUCUGUUGUUAGGGAAGAACACGUGCUGUUCGAAUAGGGCAGUGCCUUGACGGUACCUAACCAGAAAGCCACGGCUAACUACGUGCCAGCAGCCGCGGUAAUACGUAGGUGGCAAGCGUUGUCCGGAAUUAUUGGGCGUAAAGCGCGCGCAGGCGGUUUCUUAAGUCUGAUGUGAAAGCCCACAGCUCAACUGUGGAGGGUCAUUGGAAACUGGGGAACUUGAGUACAGAAGAGGAGAGCGGAAUUCCACGUGUAGCGGUGAAAUGCGUAGAUAUGUGGAGGAACACCAGUGGCGAAGGCGGCUCUCUGGUCUGUGACUGACGCUGAGGCGCGAAAGCAUGGGUAGCGAACAGGAUUAGAUACCCUGGUAGUCCAUGCCGUAAACGAUGAGUGCUAGGUGUUAGGGGGUCCAACCCUUAGUGCUGCAGUUAACGCAAUAAGCACUCCGCCUGGGGAGUACGGCCGCAAGGCUGAAACUCAAAGGAAUUGACGGGGGCCCGCACAAGCGGUGGAGCAUGUGGUUUAAUU
RNAcentral lists this ribosomal RNA (861 nucleotides) under Alkalibacillus filiformis. Its description in RNAcentral is "bacterial SSU rRNA". It matches the Rfam family "Bacterial small subunit ribosomal RNA", at positions 104 to 951 of the family's 1533-position model. Lineage: Bacteria; Bacillati; Bacillota; Bacilli; Caryophanales; Bacillaceae. The record is from RNAcentral.